CAUGGCCGAAUUCGUCAUGUUUUUAUUUCACAUGGAUUUGGUUUUAAUAUUUAAUUAAUUCUUGUGGUAGAAAUUGAAUUGAAAAUAUUUUAAAAACUUUCAAGUUGAAGUAGAAAACAAUUCCUCUUCUAUCAGAAAAUGUAGAAGAAAAUCUAGAAGAAAUCAAGGAGAAAAUUCAUGAGAAAAUCUAGAAGAAGAUUCAAGAGAAAAUCUAGAAUUCUCUACUAUUAGAUGAAGAAGCAUGUAAUCCCGGCCAAAACUUGUAAUAAUAGAAUUCUUCCUCUCUUAUCUUGACAAGAACUCUAAAUUGAUGAAAACUCUCGAUUUUCAUGAUGCAAACCUUUUGAAACCCAGUCACGCUUGAUGUGAUAAGAAUUCUUGAAUUAUUAGGAGAUUUACUUGAUGUUGGAAACUAUUUAUGAGGAGAGAUGGAUUCGGUUAUAAAAGAAUGAAUAAUCAAGUGUCCAUAAUCUUUCAAUGUGCCUUAGAAUUAUGAGUGUCUAGUUAUGAAUCUUUCAAGAAAAAUAAACGACUCUCUAAUGUGAAAUACCGAGAGUCCAUGAUUGGGAGGACUCUUUUGCUCAUUUGAUUGUAAUCAUCUUGCUCAUAGGAUCUUAGUGCGAGUUCCCCUCCAUUUGCUUGCAUCAUUGAAGUUUGAGAUCAAUAAAAAUAAACUUUUAGUUUUUGCUUAGCCAUUGACUAAAUUGCUCUUUAAGGAGGUUUUUUCAACAUUUUUGUUGCGUAGAGAAUUGGUGUAUACUUAUUAAAAUAACGUGUGGGGUUUUCAUCAAUUUUUUUUUCUUUUUUUUUUCUUGAAAUAAUUCAUCAAUCUCUUUUUUAAAGUUGAUUUUAACUUAUUAAAAUAUGGAAAACAUGCGAAUGAUAAAAACAGGCAUCCUCUUUAUAUUUACUCUUUUCAAGAAAAACGUUUAUAUUCAUUUAUUUACAUUAAAAACCAGCCUCAAAAAUCAUUUCCAACAUUCUAGUGGAAACUCAGUGGCCAGUAUCAACCCCUGGUUGUCAUACAGUGAACUAUAGAGUAAGGUAAGUGAAUUUUCUUUUAUAAGCACUGAAAAACAAAGAGCACAAAUUGAUGCAAAAGAUAUUUAAUUGGGUUUCCUGAAUACAUUGACAACUGUAUUCAAUCAAAUCUACAAUUGGUCGCAAUAUUAUAUGGUUUCAUAAAUAGAUCAAAGGUUAUAUCUUUUCCAAAUCUACUAUUGGUUGUAACUAUAUGAAUUAGAUCAGCAUUUUUAUCAGCACUAUGAACUUAUGUAUAAUUUAAAGUACUCUUAAGUUUCCUAUCAAGAUUUCUAGUGAUAACUAAAUUAGAACUAAGAGUCAAUAAGUACUUGUAUUUCUUUCAAGAGAAUGCAGAGUCUUUGAGAGAACUGCACAAUAUUCUGUAGUUUGCAAUGCAACCAAUCCUUAUAUAUGAUGCUCAAGGAAUUUCUCUUGUUGGGUGUGAUAUCUAGGCAAAUAAUUAGCCUGUUCCACAUCAAUUGGCAAAUGAGUAAAACUUUAAAAAAAGAAAAGAAAAGACACCAGAAUAAGCUGAUGGCAGCAAAGAUCUUGAUAUUGCUUAGGAUCUUAACCCGAAAAAUGUACAAAGGCUUAGCUCAAGGAUGAAUGUGGGGCAUAAAUUUGUAGAUUUAUAGAUUUCAUCUUUCCUACAAGAUUUCCUGCUCCUUUCUUAUUGUGAUGCUUCAAUAUUUUCACUUUAGUGAGGAUAUGCAGUUGCAAAGUUUGCCAAUAAUUUUUGGCAUGUCCACAAGAUCAUGCUUUUGGGAAAUACAGGAUUCAGUACCUUUAGGAUUUCAUUUAUGGUUUAAAAUUUUUUAAGUUUCUUAUUAUGAUUUUUAGUCAUAAGUAGUUUAUAAUUAAGGCAAAAGUCUAAAAUGCAGGUAAUUAAUAUUUUAGAAAAUACAAACAUUGUUGGGAGAAGUUUACAACGAUAUUCUUUUGUGAUUGUAUAAGGCAACCAAACCUUAAGGUUCUAUGAGUGAUAUCUAAGGAAAUCUAGGUACAAUACAUAAUUUUGCCUCUUACCUCUAAGUAGGCCAACAAUCCCUAAUCUGU
This 2079-nucleotide long non-coding RNA is filed under the name Carica papaya (papaya). RNAcentral's name for it is "long non-coding RNA (CPAP_LNC014530)". Lineage: Eukaryota; Viridiplantae; Streptophyta; Magnoliopsida; Brassicales; Caricaceae. The record is from RNAcentral.